GACGAACGCUGGCGGCGUGCCUAAUACAUGCAAGUCGAACGAGAGCGCCCGGUGCUUGCACUGGUCAAUCUAGUGGCGAACGGGUGAGUAACACGUGGGUAACCUGCCCAUCAGAGGGGGAUAACAUCCGGAAACGGAUGCUAAAACCGCAUAGGUCUUCGAGCCGCAUGGCUUGAAGAGGAAAAGAGGCGCAAGCUUCUGCUGAUGGAUGGACCCGCGGUGCAUUAGCUAGUUGGUGAGGUAACGGCUCACCAAGGCCGUGAUGCAUAGCCGACCUGAGAGGGUGAUCGGCCACAUUGGGACUGAGACACGGCCCAAACUCCUACGGGAGGCAGCAGUAGGGAAUCUUCCGCAAUGGACGCAAGUCUGACGGAGCAACGCCGCGUGAGUGGAGAAGGUUUUCGGAUCGUAAAACUCUGUUGUUAGAGAAGAACAAGUGCUAGAGUAACUGUUAGCGCCUUGACGGUAUCUAACCAGAAAGCCACGGCUAACUACGU
Molecule: ribosomal RNA, 497 nt
Filed under: uncultured bacterium
Lineage: Bacteria
Description: partial 16S ribosomal RNA
Rfam family: Bacterial small subunit ribosomal RNA
Source: RNAcentral